UUUAAUUUUAUCUUUCUGAACUUUUACGUGACAUUACAAGUUCUAUCCAUCAAACCCUACUUUUUUCUCAGAAACUUUUUUCAUCAUUAUAUUUCGGCUAUUGGUCAGUAGAUGGCUAGAUUGCAGUAACACCCGGCUGUAACCAUGACGACGACAGCUUCAUCUUCCAGAGUUGCUGGCGCACGUCGUUGGAUCAAAUACACCGGUUCGCGAUUUUUGUUCCGCAGUCAAGCAAAAACGUUCCAAAGCUAAGAUCAUAGCACGCUUCGCGUUCCACACACGAAUGUCGCGCAAAACAGAGACUCGAAAAAUUUAUUGAGACGUACGUAAAGUGUCAACACGAAAAUACAAAAAUGAUUCUGGUAAUGAUGGCAGAUUAACUUUGUGUUCAAUUCCUGAACAUGGCUCUACAAUGGGAGAAAUUAUCUCCUCAAGAAUUUCAACAGCUACAAGACUUGGCAGCAUAUUCCACGAAAAAACUACAAGACGUUUUAGUAGAAUUUUGUGGUGCCGGGCCUCCUUACAAACAUAAUCCAGAUGGGG
Molecule: long non-coding RNA, 543 nt
Organism: Leptinotarsa decemlineata (Colorado potato beetle)
Lineage: Eukaryota; Metazoa; Arthropoda; Insecta; Coleoptera; Chrysomelidae
Gene: Dgk
Source: RefSeq, a predicted model, not a curated record